CGCAGCCGCGGUAAUUCCAGCUCCAAUAGCGUAUAUUAAAGUUGUUGCAGUUAAAAAGCUCGUAGUUGAAUUUCGGGAUUGACGUGAUGGUCGUGCCUUACGGGGUAUGAACUGUUGCAGUCAAUUUCUCACCUUCUGGAGAAAUAUGAUGUCCUUAAUUGGGUGUCAUAUGGAACCAGAACUUUUACCUUGAAAAAAUUAGAGUGUUUAAAGCAGGCUUAUUGCUCGAAUACAUUAGCAUGGAAUAAUAAAAUAGGACGGCAUGGUUCUAUUUUGUUGGUUUCUAGGAUCACCGUAAUGAUUAAUAGGGAUAGUUGGGGGCAUUAGUAUUCAAUUGUCAGAGGUGAAAUUCUUGGAUUUAUUGAAGACUAACUACUGCGAAAGCAUUUGCCAAGGAUGUUUUCAUUAAUCAAGAACGAAAGUUAGGGGAUCGAAGACGAUCAGAUACCGUCGUAGUCUUAACCAUAAACUAUGC
This 475-nucleotide ribosomal RNA is filed under the name uncultured Entrophospora. Its description in RNAcentral is "SSU rRNA". It matches the Rfam family "Eukaryotic small subunit ribosomal RNA", at positions 569 to 1042 of the family's 1831-position model. Lineage: Eukaryota; Fungi; Glomeromycota; Glomeromycetes; Entrophosporales; Entrophosporaceae. The record is from RNAcentral.